ACGCUCGACACCUACGGGAGGCAGCAGUGGGGAAUAUUGCACAAUGGGGGAAACCCUGAUGCAGCGACGCCGCGUGAGCGAAGAAGUAUUUCGGUAUGUAAAGCUCUAUCAGCAGGGAAGAAAAUGACGGUACCUGACUAAGAAGCACCGGCUAAAUACGUGCUAGCAGCCGCGGUAAUCUGAGCGGGCUGGCAAGGC
RNAcentral lists this ribosomal RNA (198 nucleotides) under uncultured bacterium. Its description in RNAcentral is "partial 16S ribosomal RNA". It matches the Rfam family "Bacterial small subunit ribosomal RNA", at positions 328 to 539 of the family's 1533-position model. The record is from RNAcentral.